RNAcentral lists this ribosomal RNA (407 nucleotides) under Oikopleura sp. 230_UnivF-1183. Its description in RNAcentral is "SSU rRNA". It matches the Rfam family "Eukaryotic small subunit ribosomal RNA", at positions 1239 to 1660 of the family's 1831-position model. The record is from RNAcentral. Lineage: Eukaryota; Metazoa; Chordata; Appendicularia; Copelata; Oikopleuridae.
GAUGACAGAUUGAGAGUUCUUUCUUGAUUCUGUGGGUGGUGGUGCAUGGCCGUUCUUAGUUGGUGGAGCGAUUUGUCUGGUUAAUUCCGAUAACGAACGAGACUCUGGCAUGUUAAAUAGUCACGGGAGUAAUUUUUACUCGCUUUGAUGACUUCUUAGAGGGACAAGUGAUUUUAAUCACACGAGAUUGAGCAAUAACAGGUCUGUGAUGCCCUUAGAUGUUCGGGGCCGCACGCGCGCUACAAUGAGUCGAUCAACGAGCGUACUUUUAUUCCAAGCCCGAAAGGGCGAGGUAAUCCGUUGAACCCGACUCGUGCUAGGGAUAGGGAAUUGUAAUUGUUUCCCUUGAACGAGGAAUUCCCAGUAAGCGCAAGUCAUCAGCUUGCGUUGAUUACGUCCCUGCCCCU